CGCGCAUUCUUCUCAUCGUACAGUCCAAACAUAGGAGUCUGCAGACCGCCGUGGAGAAGUCAGCCUUAAAGGCUUGGCCUAGCGAGAUGAAUGCCUAAAGAAGGGAAAGAUAAUGGAUAAAGACACUGCGAUUAAGAUUAUAGUGGGUCACUAACAUUAAGAAACCCUGAACUCAAGAGGACUUUCAAACUGGAUUAGAUUUUAUCUUUUUCUUUAGAAAAACUAACUGCCAUACCAGAGUUAAGGAGUUUCCUAACGUUGCUCUUCAAGCAGACGGCUUCGUCCGAGCAACUCACCCUACAAACAAACACCCUCCCCCCAUGCUGAACUGGGAUCUAAACCGCAUCCUCCUGCGCAUGCGCAGUCUGUGCUAUAAAACCAACCACUUGCAGUUGAAGAGCUAUGCAACGCAGAGUGGAGAAACGGCAAGACAAAGCAGAAAACUGCGAUGUGACGCGCCGAUCACCGAAUUUGCACAGUUGAAAGGAAAACGAAACUAUAGAUAGUUAAAUCGAGCUGUUAAAUUGCACAGGAUUGCCUACGCCAGUCAAAUCAUCGUCAGGUUUUAACUUUCGGGACACUGAGAUUAUAGAUGGAUAUUAAUACGGCUACAUUCAACCAGUUUUGGAGCUAGGGUAUUAUUUCAGUGUCGAUAUCGUUCAUUUUGUUAUGCUUUCAAAAUGGCGAUUUUCUCCGCUCUUCCCCCUCCCUGGCCUUCCUGAAUAGAUGAAUGACAUUGCCCUUGACCAAUAAUACGCUCAUUGUUCUGUUUUCUCGGCGUUGAUUGGCUACCGAUGACAUCAUCUGAAUUCCAUAUGUGGGAGGGCACUGAGCUACGAGGGGAGAGCGGCGCACCCGGAGAUCCGACCGUGUUUGUGGACGACAGUAGGGUGCCAUUAACUCCAAAUCUCAUUAACCAUUUGAUUUACUUAAAUCUCAACGGAUCUCUGAAACACGGCGUUUUAGAAGAGCCCUUCCACGGAGUUGGCAAUACACAUUAUUCGUUCGUUUCGAUCACAAAAAUCGCAAGAAGAUGGCGUCCUCGCUCGCUCGCUCGCAGCACUGCACAAAGCCCACACUGGGCGGGGUCACGGUCUUUCCAGAAAAUAUCAUUGCCGAAAACUGGAUUGAGCUCCUUAAGAUUACGUCAUCAGCCGUGUGUUUUAAAAUACUCUGGCGAAUAAAAACCUUAAUAGGCUUUUGUCGCAGCAAACGCCGGAAUAUUGGAAAGUAGUUUAUUUGGGCGUUCGUCGGUUCGUUUUAAAGAACCGAUUAUAAGCGAUUCAUUGAUUCUUUUUCUUCUGCGUCAUGACGUAUUUACGUUGUCCCUGACAGCUUGAUGUGACAAAUUACUUUUUAAAAUCUAAAUUAAAACAUCUCAAAGGCAUAUGUAUAUAUCGCUGUUUACUACGGGAUUUACCUAUUAAAAGUAACUUAAAAAAAAAAAACAAUUUUGUGUGCUGUAAUGUCCUGUAUCGUGAUUGUUGUCAUAUCAUCCAGUUGCAAUCAUUCGUUCGCCAUUCGGACAUUACUGUUGGCUGUCAGUGCAUUUUAAAUCCUCAUAUCCCUUAUGUUUUUGGAAAUUUGCGAGAAGGGUAAGCGCACCUGCUGCUAUCUUUAUAAGAAGUCAGAACAUCGUCGGUUACGUCACAAUAACAGCCGCAUAUGAGCUGCAACAAAAGAACUCAGCUGAAGGAGCGCGUUUCCUGUUUUGGCGCUGCUCAGGAAACGAAUCGCGUGCAGAAAACAUGCCGGUCGAGGUUUCACAUCGUUGGUGUGGGACGCCAUAGAGUGUCUGCAUAAGUAAUCUGUUUCUUGCGUUCGUUAAGAUUGAUGUUUUAGUAACGCCGUGGCUUUGAGCUGCUCGCUUUUUUUUUUAUUGAUUGCGUUUCCACAGCCGCCAUGUUGUCGAUCCCACGCCUCCUCUGCGCUGCUCUGGGGAUGAUGAUUAGUAAAUGGCGUAUUGGAGCAUUUUCUUUACUGCUUAGUGAGUAGUAGUUUUUGUAUAUUGGCUCCCUCAAGAAAGUUUAGCUCAAAUCGCCUGAUAUAAAAUGAGUUUCACUGCAAUUUCGUUACUUGUAUUAUUUUAACCUACUAUUAUUCUUGUCCAUUACAUGAUCUGGACACAAGAGGGAUGAAAGUGGCACAGGGUGUCCUAAAGACAAAUAAUUGUGUUAUGAUACUACAAACACUAUACAUUGAAUACUAUGUCUUAGAAACUGUCAAACUACUUAGUCCAGGACAGGUGCAUAAUGGCCAACUUAGCAAAACAUCUCACAGCUUUAAAAUUAAAUAUAAUUAUGAUGGUUUGUAGUGUUUUUCAAUCAAGGGUCUUGGUCCCACAAGGGGGGCACAUCAAGCUUCCAAGAUGCCUUAAAUAGUUUUAAAUUUAUAUUGAUAAAACCAAACUUAACCCUAUAAAGCCAUUCUGUAUCAUAUUUGAUACAUGCCUUUAAAUGAUAGACAUGAUCAAAACUUUGGCUAAAAAUCUUUUUGUACACAAUCUUCUACAUGCCAUCUGCUGUCUAAAUUGAUAGCUUAUACUUUUUUAGCAAGUAAAAAGCCUUUUAGUAUAAAUGUUCAUCUUCAGGUUGUGGUACAUGUCUUUUUGCUGUAAAAUCUUUGAUUUUCCUAAAGUAAACAAAUUGCUUUUAUUAGUAAUAUUUUAAGAUGAGCAUUUACUGGAUUGAAGCAACUUAUUUAAGUAAUUAGUUAUCCAUAGGCUACUUUUUUUUUUUUUAUAAAUCAUGUUGUUGGUAAUGGUU
This is a long non-coding RNA of Ctenopharyngodon idella (grass carp), 2765 nucleotides long. RefSeq lists it as uncharacterized. Lineage: Eukaryota; Metazoa; Chordata; Actinopteri; Cypriniformes; Xenocyprididae. The record is from RefSeq and is a predicted model, not a curated record. The transcript is spliced from 2 exons.